Molecule: ribosomal RNA, 499 nt
Filed under: uncultured bacterium
Lineage: Bacteria
Description: partial 16S ribosomal RNA
Rfam family: Bacterial small subunit ribosomal RNA
Source: RNAcentral
GACGAACGCUGGCGGCGUGCCUAAUACAUGCAAGUCGAGCGAAGUUUUUCUGGUGCUUGCACCGGAAAAACUUAGCGGCGCACGGGUGAGUAACACGUAAAGAACCUGCCUUAUAGACUGGGACAACUAUUGGAAACGAUAGCUAAUACCGGAUAACAGCAUUAACUGCAUGGUUGAUGUUUGAAAGUUGGUUUUGCUAACACUAUGAGAUGGCUUUGCGGUGCAUUAGCUAGUUGGUGGGGUAAAGGCCUACCAAGGCGACGAUGCAUAGCCGACCUGAGAGGGUGAUCGGCCACACUGGGACUGAGACACGGCCCAGACUCCUACGGGAGGCAGCAGUAGGGAAUCUUCCGCAAAGGGCGAAAGCCUGACGGAGCAACGCCGCGUGAGUGAAGAAGGAUUUCGGUUCGUAAAGCCCUGUUGUUAGGGAAGAAUGAUUGUGUAGUAACUAUACACAGUAGAGACGGUACCUAACCAGAAAGCCACGGCUAACUACGUG